This 475-nucleotide ribosomal RNA is filed under the name uncultured soil bacterium. RNAcentral describes it as "bacterial SSU rRNA". It matches the Rfam family "Bacterial small subunit ribosomal RNA", at positions 26 to 518 of the family's 1533-position model. The record is from RNAcentral.
AGGACGAACGCUGGCGGCGUGCUUAACACAUGCAAGUCGAACGGAAAGGCCCAGCUUGCUGGGUGCUCGAGUGGCGAACGGGUGAGUAACACGUGGGUGAUCUGCCCCUAACUUCGGGAUAAGCGUGGGAAACUGGGUCUAAUACCGGAUAGGACAAUCGUUUAGUGUCGGUUGUGGAAAGUUUUUUCGGUUAGGGAUGAGCCCGCGGCCUAUCAGCUUGUUGGUGGGGUAAUGGCCUACCAAGGCGUCGACGGGUAGCCGGCCUGAGAGGGUGGACGGCCACGAUUGGGACUGAGAUACGGCCCAGACUCCUACGGGAGGCAGCAGUGGGGAAUAUUGCACAAUGGGCGCAAGCCUGAUGCAGCGACGCCGCGUGGGGGAUGACGGCUUCGGUGUAAACUCUUUCGACAGGGACGAAGCUUUGGUGACGGUACCUGUAUAAGAAGCGACCGCUAACUACGUGCCAGCGAGCCGC